Molecule: ribosomal RNA, 253 nt
Filed under: uncultured bacterium
Lineage: Bacteria
Description: partial 16S ribosomal RNA
Rfam family: Bacterial small subunit ribosomal RNA
Source: RNAcentral
UACGUAGGGUGCAAGCGUUAAUCGGAAUUACUGGGCGUAAAGCGUGCGCAGGCGGCUUUGCAAGACAGAUGUGAAAUCCCCGGGCUUAACCUGGGAACUGCAUUUGUGACUGCAUGGCUGGAGUGCGGCAGAGGGGGAUGGAAUUCCAGGUGUAGCGGUGAAAUGCGUAGAUAUCUGGAGGAACACCGGUGGCGAAGGCGGCAUCCUGGACCGGUAUUGACGCUGAGGCGCGAAAGCUAGGGGAGCAAACGGG